Molecule: ribosomal RNA, 253 nt
Filed under: uncultured bacterium
Lineage: Bacteria
Description: partial 16S ribosomal RNA
Rfam family: Bacterial small subunit ribosomal RNA
Source: RNAcentral
UACGUAGGGUGCAGGCGUUAAUCGGAAUUACUGGGCGUAAAGCGUGCGCAGGCGGCCUGCUAAGAGAGAUGUGAAAUCCCCGGGCUUAACCUGGGAACUGCGUUUCUAACUGGCAGGCUUGAGUGUGGCAGAGGGGGGUGGAAUUCCACGUGUAGCAGUGAAAUGCGUAGAGAUGUGGAGGAACACCGAUGGCGAAGGCAGCCCCCUGGGCUAACACUGACGCUCAUGCACGAAAGCGUGGGGAGCAAACAGG